AGAGUUUGAUCUGGCUCAGGACGAACGCUGGCGGCGUGCUUAACACAUGCAAGUCGAACGAUGAACCAGGGCUUGCCCUGGGGAUUAGUGGCGAACGGGUGAGUAACACGUGGGCAACCUGCCCCUGACUCUGGGAUAACUCCGGGAAACCGGGGCUAAUACCGGAUAUGAGCCUCGACGACAUCGUCGAGGCUGGAAAGUUUUUCGGUCAGGGAUGGGCCCGCGGCCUAUCAGCUUGUUGGUGGGGUAAUGGCCUACCAAGGCGACGACGGGUAGCCGGCCUGAGAGGGCGACCGGCCACACUGGGACUGAGACACGGCCCAGACUCCUACGGGAGGCAGCAGUGGGGAAUAUUGCGCAAUGGGCGAAAGCCUGACGCAGCGACGCCGCGUGAGGGACGACGGCCUUCGGGUUGUAAACCUCUUUCAGCAGGGACGAAGCGAAAGUGACGGUACCUGCAGAAGAAGCACCGGCCAACUACGUGCCAGCAGCCGCGGUA
This 499-nucleotide ribosomal RNA is filed under the name uncultured Actinomycetes bacterium. Its description in RNAcentral is "bacterial SSU rRNA". It matches the Rfam family "Bacterial small subunit ribosomal RNA", at positions 8 to 522 of the family's 1533-position model. The record is from RNAcentral. Lineage: Bacteria; Bacillati; Actinomycetota; Actinomycetes.